Molecule: long non-coding RNA, 1549 nt
Filed under: Oncorhynchus kisutch (coho salmon)
Lineage: Eukaryota; Metazoa; Chordata; Actinopteri; Salmoniformes; Salmonidae
Description: lncRNA (ENSOKIG00005037247.1)
Source: RNAcentral
CACACACUCCCGCACAGUAGGUGGCGGCAUGCACGAAAAUUUUGCAAACGCAAUGAUACCAAAGAAGGACCUUAGUAGGGUAGCCAGCUAGCUAAUGUCAACUUUAUAAAGUUUAGCUACAUAGCUUGCUAGUUCCCUACGCGUUUAUCUAAAUAUCUGUAGUUUUUAUUGAUAAACUGUCUAGCCACGUUGUUAAAGAUAAUGUCAAAUUGCUGCUGACAACUUCGUGAUAGUUGACCAACUUAUUUGGCUAUCAGCUUUACUCCAGCUAGGUCGCUUGCAUUCUAACUGACAAGCUAGCUAGCAAAGCUACUCGCUAAUUUAGCUGGCCAAAGAGCUCUGCCCUGCAAGUUACUCCUCAGCAGCUGCCAUGGCCUCUUCGGAGUUUCGGGGUGACGUUUCCCAGGUGCGCAGCGGCCGUGACACCAUCUUCUCUGAGGCCAUCAACCAGAAGAUGCGUGUCCCCGACCGGCUGAGAGUGGGGCCAGGCAUGGGACAGAGAUGGGAAGAGGAGAGGCAGGAGUGUGCUGACUGUCCCGCUUCUUACAGCAUGCACAUCCCAGACAGGCUGUCUCUCACAGAUGCCCCGGACAUGAGCCCCCAUCCACUGUUCACGUCAUCCAAGCAAGGCUCAGCCCUCCCUCUGGGGCCUGCAUGGGAGGCACAGCAGCACAGUGCCUGGAACAGAGAAAGAGACCCCUACAUGAGGGAACCAGUGCAGAGUCCACUGCGUAGGUCCUACAGUGACCAGGCUUUUGGCAGGAGCAACCCUGGCACCCCCACCUGCAAACAGACACCGCACACCCCUAUCUCUUGCGGCAGUGCAGGAUGCCCCCCUCAGCGCUCCUCUACUGCUGCUGCAGACACCCUGCCCAUGCCCCUGGGGCUCCCUGCCACCCUACCCAGCCUCCUGUCCCCGCAGACCAUGCUGCAGGCUGCCAAGGAACUGGGCCAGCAGGCCUCACAGUGCCUUCUGCAGACUGUCACUCAGAAAUACAGGUUAGGGGUCCUACCUUCUCCGACCUGAGUGACCCCUGCCUACCCAAACCGAAAUCUUAACAAAUGGCCCCUAACCUCCUUCCAUUUCUUCCUUGCUUGGGCUUGCAUUUAUGUCCUUACGCUACUAGUUCUAACUUUCUUGGCAAAGCUUUUGCCUCAAUAAAGGAUUCAUUCUUGACUACAGGAUCACUUCCUUUACUCACAACUUAGGUUGAAAUCAUACUAUUUUUAUUUGACCUUUUAUUUUACUAGGCAAGUCAGUUAAGAACAAAUGAUUAUUUACAAUGACGGCCUAGGAACAGUGGGUUAACUGCUCUAACCACUAGGCUACCUGCCGCCCCAAGUAUACCAUGAAAUGCUUGCUUAUUAGCCCUUUCCAAUGAUGCAGAGUAAAAAACAAGAAUUUAAGGUAUUUGAGGUAGAUAUGGACGUAAAGUGACUAGGAAUCAUGAUAUAUAAUAAUGAUGAGUAAAAUGGUGUCUGUAUUUACAGUACAAGUCAAAAGUUGACACCUACUCAUUCAAGGGUUUUUCUUUCAUUUUUUAUUUUC